AUUGAACGCUGGCGGCAGGCCUAACACAUGCAAGUCGAGCGAGCGGCGGACGGGUGAGUAAUGUAUGGGGACUGCCCGAUAGAGGGGGAUAACUACUGGAAACGGUGGCUAAUACCGCAUACUAUCGGAUAACCCAUAUGGGAUUAGCUAGUAGGUGGGGUAAAGGCUCACCUAGGCGACGAUCUCUAGCUGGUCUGAGAGGAUGAUCAGCGACAGUGGGACUGAGACACGGCCUAGAGCCCAGCGGAGGCAGCAGGGGGGAAUAUGGCACAAUGGGCGCAGGCCGGAUGCAGCCAUGCGGCGUGUAUGAAGGAGGCCUUAGGGUUGUAAAGUGCUUUCAUCGGGGAGGCGUUACCCGCAGAAGAAGCACCGGCUAACUACGUGCCAGCAGCCGCGGUAAUUC
RNAcentral lists this ribosomal RNA (403 nucleotides) under uncultured bacterium. Its description in RNAcentral is "partial 16S ribosomal RNA". It matches the Rfam family "Bacterial small subunit ribosomal RNA", at positions 29 to 526 of the family's 1533-position model. The record is from RNAcentral.